UGACCGCUAGCUACAGGCUUACCACAUGCAAGUCGCGGGGCAGCAUGGGGGUUGCUUGCAAUCCCCGAUGGCGACCGGCGCACGGGUGAGUAACGCGUAUCCAACCUGCCCUUCACCACGGGAUAACCCGGCGAAAGUCGGACUAAUACCGUAUGUUGUCCAUUGACGGCAUCCGAUUUGGACGAAAGGCUUGGCGGUGAGGGAUGGGGAUGCGUCCGAUUAGCCAGACGGCGGGGUAACGGCCCACCGUGGCUACGAUCGGUAGGGGUUCUGAGAGGAAGGUCCCCCACACUGGAACUGAGACACGGUCCAGACUCCUACGGGAGGCAGCAGUGAGGAAUAUUGGUCAAUGGGCGUAAGCCUGAACCAGCCAAGUAGCGUGCAGGAUGACGGCCCUAUGGGUUGUAAACUGCUUUUAUGCGGGGAUAAAGUGGCCCACGUGUGGGCUUUUGCAGGUACCGCAUGAAUAAGGACCGGCUAAUUCCGUG
RNAcentral lists this ribosomal RNA (488 nucleotides) under uncultured bacterium. Its description in RNAcentral is "partial 16S ribosomal RNA". It matches the Rfam family "Bacterial small subunit ribosomal RNA", at positions 30 to 507 of the family's 1533-position model. The record is from RNAcentral.